UCUGGGCGUGGUGGUGCACGCCUGUAGUCCCAGCUACUUGGAAGGCUGAGGUGGGAGGAUGGCUUGAACCCAGGAGAUUGAGGCUGCCGUGAGCUGAGAUCGUGCCACUGCACUCUGGCCUGGGCAACAGAGCAAGAUCCCGUCUCAA
Molecule: unclassified non-coding RNA, 148 nt
Organism: Pongo abelii (Sumatran orangutan)
Lineage: Eukaryota; Metazoa; Chordata; Mammalia; Primates; Hominidae
Rfam family: Metazoan signal recognition particle RNA
About the family: The signal recognition particle (SRP) is a universally conserved ribonucleoprotein. It is involved in the co-translational targeting of proteins to membranes.
Source: Ensembl